AGAAUUUGAUCUUGGUUCAGAACGACGCUGGUGGCGUGUCUUAUACAUGCAAGUCGAGCGAGGCAGCAAUGCCGAGCGGCGAACGGGUGAGUAACGCGUAAGCAAUCUGCCCCCAUAUCAGGAAAUACCCGUGCCAACGCGCGGUUUAAUGUCCAGGAGAGUGGCCCCCUGCAUGGGGAGUUGACUAGAGAUUUUAUCGGUAUGGGAUGAGCUUGCGUCCGAUUAGCUAGUUGGCGGGGCAACGGCCCACCAAGGCGACGAUCGGUAGCCGGCCUGAGAGGGUGAUCGGCCACAUUGGGACUGAGAUACGGCCCAGACUCCUACGGGAGGCAGCAGUAGGGAAUAUUGCACAAUGGGGGAAACCCUGAUGCAGCAACGCCACGUGUGGGGAAAAGAAGCAUUUCGGUGUGUAAACCACUGUCAUGAGGGAAUAAGGCCCGCCUACGGACGGGACUUGAAUGUACCUUGAGAGGAAGCACCGGCAAACUUCGUGCCAGCAGCAGC
Molecule: ribosomal RNA, 504 nt
Filed under: uncultured bacterium
Lineage: Bacteria
Description: bacterial SSU rRNA
Rfam family: Bacterial small subunit ribosomal RNA
Source: RNAcentral